Long non-coding RNA from Nematostella vectensis (starlet sea anemone), 1529 nucleotides. RefSeq lists it as uncharacterized. The transcript has 2 exons. The record is from RefSeq and is a predicted model, not a curated record. NCBI's taxonomy places the organism in Eukaryota, Metazoa, Cnidaria, Anthozoa, Actiniaria, Edwardsiidae.
CAUUGUGUUGGAACUCACUCAAAACCAUUUUUGAUUAUCUCCUAUUUGCCAUCCAUUUCUUUCUUUUAUACCGUAUCUGCACGCCUUCAUAUUUUAUUCCUAUCACCAGCCUUGUAAUUCCAUUUAAUUGUCUACAAGCUCAAAUUACACUCCACAAGAUUGAACAAUAUGUUAUCACAAGAAGUCAAACACACAGUUCUCCCCUAACAUCUCACUGCUAGCCUAUUUCCACCUCUCAUACAUAGCCACUACUCCGACCCUUACAGCCCUCAAUGCAAUACACCAUAUAAAAUAGCCACACGUACACACUUUAACCCACACACCAACGUCCAUUACCACACAUUGUAUCACCCCACACAGCCACAGUUAAGCCCCGACGCCUCGGUACGAAUACCAAAUUAAAUCCAAAGCCAUCCAUUUCUUUCUUUUAUACCGUAUCUGCACGCCUUCAUGUUUUAUUCCUAUCACCAGCCUUGUAAUUCCAUUUAAUUGUCUACAAGCUCAAAUUACACUCCACAAGAUUGAACAAUAUGUUAUCACAAGAAGUUAUCAACAUGUAAUUAUCACCUUCCUCCGAAGGUCAAACACACAGUUCUCCCCUAACAUCUCACUGCUAGCCUAUUUCCACCUCUCAUACAUAGCCACUACUCCGACCCUUACAGCCCUCAAUGCAAUACACCAUAUAAAAUAGCCACACGUACACACUUUAACCCACACACCAACGUCCAUUACCACACAUUUUAUCACCCCACACAGCCACAGUUAAGCCCCGACGCCUCGGUACGAAUACCAGAUUAAAACCAAAACUAUGAUUACCAUACUGGGAAAGUGCUGUAUCACAUUAAGUGAUCCCGAGGCGUCCCCCAAAUCCCCCACACACCACUUCUUUCCCCACCCCGUCCCCUCACCCACAUCCCUCUCACAAAUUAAAUCUUAUUCUAUCCUUACCACACAACAUACCUACCCACUACUACCACCCAGCUCUAUACAUGUCACAACCCCCUUUCUCUCCCCUCCUCAUACCUAGCUAACCACCCAAGUACCCCCCUACUCACAUCACCCACACCCAACCACCCACCUACCUCACAACAAGCACCCCCUCAUCCCUCACCCCACAAACAGCCCCAUACCCACUUUACCCAUACCACACCAUCAUACAACCCACCACGAUUAUUCCAAGCCCCAACACAACACCAACACCCACCUAAGCCCCACACACCGACACACACACUACCUCCCCCCUUACACUUUCCUACACUCUCAGUUAAAUAUACAUACCUAACACACCCUACACAAGCCAUACCCCUGCCAACACCAAAAACCACACACCCCUCCCCCCCAUGGCCACAACACGACUCACGCUACAACACACCAAACCAACCACACCCUACAGCAGCAACUAAUCCUACAACCAGCGCUCCCUCCAACAACACACCCUACAUACACACAGUUCUCCCCUAACAUCUCACUGCUAGCCUAUUUCCACCUCUCAUACAUAGCCACUACUCCGACCCUUACAGCCCUCAAUG